Molecule: long non-coding RNA, 3071 nt
Organism: Homo sapiens (human)
Lineage: Eukaryota; Metazoa; Chordata; Mammalia; Primates; Hominidae
Product: long intergenic non-protein coding RNA 494
Source: Ensembl
AUGAUACUGAGGUACUAGGGAGCUGUGAAGCAUAUGCUGUGAGACAACACAGCUGAGCAGCCCAGCCAGAGCCCCCUGGGGAAGCCGUCAGAGGUCAGCAGCUCCCGUCUCCUUCCCUCUUGACUCCUAAUAGUCUAGGACAGAACUUUGCCCUCCCUUCUUCCUGUCCCAAAGAUGCACAAUGAUAAUGAUGCUGAUGGUUAUUUAGUAAGAAACUUCCCAACAGGAACAGUCAUCAGGAGGGGGCACAGUUGGAUUCUCUCCAGUGAAGAUGUCAGGAUGGACAGAAAUGUCAGCGUAAUCCAAAGAGGACACAAACACCCCUGCUAUUUUCUUGUCACCAGGAAAAGGCCAGCUCUAGGUCUACUGGGGUUCAUCCCAUCUGAGCCAGGCCUGGCUUUUCUUGGCUGCAAGCUGAGAGCUGGGUCCAGGUCUGCUGAACCAAGGUUCUCCCAUCUUCCUUGAGCCAGUGACAAUCAGAGGCCUAUUUCUUUCAUGACGGAAGGCAGGAGAACAAGCAGCUCCCGGCUCACCCACCCAGCAGCUCAGCACCUGCGAAAUCCGUCUCCCGAUGCACACUUGCUAACCGCGUGGGUGUGAGCACAACGAUGGGAAACAGCGGAAGUCCCCGGAGUGCAGACUCAGGAGUGAACCUGCCUGAAGAGUGGCGUCUAACGCACACACUGUGGUCAGCUCCACCCCACUAUGGGUCCCGGGAAUAGGAGCAAGUAUGUAUUUUGCUUGCAGGGCAGGUGUUUCAUCCACAUUAUUGCAGGAACAGAUGAAUUUAAUUAAAAGAACACCACAGUGGGCACCUCUUCCAGGGAUGUCUCCCUCUAAGAACAUGACACUGAGAUGAUCAAGGUUCUAAAAGGGCGAUCAAAUUACUCUCCGAAAAUGAAACUGCUCAGACAGAAUGACAAUUAAAUUAAUAACAACCAAGACAAUGCCCAGAUUUCAUCUCCGCUCACAGCCCCUCCUGUGUGCUGUAUGAUCAGGUUCUUGGGGUGGCUCCAGAUACAGCAAACAGUCAGGAUUAAUCCACAAGAGUGAGCUGUCAGCAUGAGGUUCCCCUACAGUGGAGCUUGCCAAGGUCCGUGCCUCCCAGGGCACCCGUUCCAGGGCUAACAGAUGAAGCAUGGAAAUGCUGUGUGGAGUGAGCUAAGCAGCCGUUCUCAGGAGAAAACAGACAAAUCCUCCUGCAUCCUGGCAAACCAGCUUUGUGGCCUGUUUUAUGUCAUCUUUGCUGAGCUCCACCGGGUCACCCCUCCUGUUGGCUUUGUGAUACUGACAUUUCAGGCACUGGCACAGAUACAUUGGCCUUCCUGGCUGGGAUUUCACGGACGGAGUGAGCAGUGCUGGCUUGGAGGAGCCGUGGCGGCACAGGGCCUGUGCUCUCAGCUGAUCAACGCCUUGAUAGCCAGGAAAGGCCUGUCCUACCCCAAAGGGCCCUCGCAGCACUGUUUGAAAUUGCUCUUGCCAUCUUUGGAAUGGAUUCCUCAGUACAUUUCAGACUCGUUGUUGUGACUUUGGUUUUAAUCCAGGGACACACCGUGGCCAGUGGAGUGUCUCAACAGCAUCUAUGAUCGCUGUUUCCCAGAGACAGCAUCUCAGAUACCGAUGCUGAAAGAGAAACAGCAGCCUGUCCCCAAGUGGCAGGAAAUAGUCCAUUUUAAUGGCAAUUUCAUAAGUGGCAGAUGAUUUUUAUUGUAAUUUUCUGGUGAGCUGAUUAAGUGGAGGCAGAGUCAGUUCUGAGGCGUCAAUGUCUUUAACAAUUCGGGGAGACGGAGGCCACGCUCAGCAGGAACACUGAGUCCAUGGAAAACAGGCCCUGGGCCCGCUGAUGUGCAUAAUUCCACGUUUGCCCCUCAUGUAACCAGGAUGGUAAAUUACAGGUGUCAGAUAAUCACGCUCUGGAGUGGCUACUUGAGGAUGCGAUCGACCAAUUUAAGCUCCGUCUGACACAUGAUCAAUAGCCCGUGAUGCUGCAUGGAAUUGCAGGCACAGUGUCCAAACCUGCAGAGCAGUGGCUCCCAGCUGGGGCAACUUUGCCCCCCAGAGGACAUUUGGCAAUGUCUGGAUAUGUUUGCAAUUGUCACAACUAGGAAAGGAGGUACCCAUAGGAUACACAGGAAAGUCCUCACACAGUUGUAUCCUGCCCAGACUGUCCGUAGAGCCAGGGUGAGAUGCUCUGACAGAGCCACAGUGAACAUUGCAUUCCAUCAUCUGGGUAUCUCCAGGAAUGUAUGUAGCUGGAUGUCUGGCUUUUCAUCUGGGUUUCACGAGCCUCCUGCAGAACUGAAACCAUGUGCAAAUCAGUUCUCAUACUUGCUCUCCUGCCUCCUUCCUAUUGUAAUUUUUUCUUCCCACCUUUUUUAUUGUUACUAGAGAAAUGAUGAAGAAAAAGAAUAGGCUGGAGAGUCACUCAAAAUUUUGUUUUCCUCAAUUAAAAAGAAGUAAUUUAGAAGUUACUCAAUGAUGUUUUCUUUAAUUAAAAAAAAAAGUAGUUUGGGAAAGCAGAAAAUUAAUGAAGACAGAAAACACAGGUUUCAUGAAAAAGUUCAGCAUCCCAGGAAAGGAGCAAAGAGAAGUCUGCAGAUGAGAGUUGCUCAGUGUCAGGACUCAGAAAACAAUACCCCAAGAUAAUGUUCAAACCUGAGUGCUUUGAACAAAGGAUAUUGAAAGACCUCAGAAGAGGGCCUCAGAACUCACAUGUCUCUCUGACCUUCUCCUGUCUCUCCUUCACUUCCAAAGCAUGAUCUUUGGCCAGGGGAUCUCUCUGGGAUUCCCUUAUCUGCCUGAGGGAUGUACUUCCAAAAGAAAUGUGACUGGCAUGACCUCCUCCCUAGGAAUCUCUUCAAACAGCCGGGAAAGACUGGUCACCUGAGAGGAGAUUGGAAGUCCUCACUGCACUCAGAAAGGCUGUUGUCCAUUCUUCUAGAGACUUUAUCUGAAUAACAAGGCAACUUUUGUUUACCAUUCAGUUCCUCCCCUUUCCUUUCUAACUUGUCACCACCUCCCCCAAAAGCCUCAAGCCUCCACUCCUACAAGCUAUAAAGACUUCAACCAUC